GGAACUUCGCCGCUACGUGGGGUCUGGGGCUCCCAUUUCUGGUAUUGUCCUCGGUCACCUUGUACUGCGGGGUUCCCGAAAACUGGGAAACUUCAGUAUGUAUUUGACAAUGAGGGCUCUGGGAUCCUACAGACAUGGGUUCGAAUCGUAGCUUCUUCAAUUGCAAGUUCAGUGACCUCGAGCAAGUUGGAGACUUGGCCGGGC
RNAcentral lists this long non-coding RNA (204 nucleotides) under Homo sapiens (human). RNAcentral describes it as "LHRI_LNC2101.1". Lineage: Eukaryota; Metazoa; Chordata; Mammalia; Primates; Hominidae. The record is from RNAcentral.